This is a long non-coding RNA of Orbicella faveolata, 985 nucleotides long. NCBI's taxonomy places the organism in Eukaryota, Metazoa, Cnidaria, Anthozoa, Scleractinia, Merulinidae. The record is from RefSeq and is a predicted model, not a curated record.
UAUUUUGCAGAGCGACCUCCUUGUUGUUAGAGAGUGCUUCAGGGCUGCAACUUGCCAGCUCGGCUUAUGCUGUUAGUGACGCCCCUAUCUCUAAACCAACGAGUUUGUUUUGCAUUUUAGAGAGGUUGGGGGUAAUCUCAAAUUAGGACGGGACACCAUUUCUCAAGUGAAGGAUCAGGAGACAGAAGCAGUCGACUGGCGCGAGGUGAAGUCCAACGACGAAAUGACAAGCGGUGUAUAUUCUUCUCUUCGUAGGGCCCAGCUGACCUACGAUUAUCUGCACACCAACAGUACUACUCAUGAAUUCCUCUUUGGCGCUUUGGCGGAGUUGGUCGACAACGCAAGAGAUGCUUCCUCACAGAAAAUAGACAUCUAUACAGGUUGGUAAACAAGCUUCGUGAGUUGUAAACAUAAACAAUAACACUGUAAGUAGCUAAAGGUAAACGUAUGUGAAUAGUUAUGUUAAAUUUUCUGAGUGUUAUAAUUGCUUGUAUCUUUCAUGGCAGUAGAUUGCUUUCCUUAUGAAAGAGAGUAAUAAAAUUCAGAUUGUAUUUUAGUUUUAUUGAACAGUGUGAAAGGUGAUAACUUUCCUGUAAUGGUUUUUAAAGCUGAAUAAAUUAAUAAAUUAUUACAAGUGGUGAAGCUAAGUAGUGGUUGCCAUGGAAUUUUACUGAUUGAAGAAACCUCAUCAUUAGCUUUCCAGUCAUUGACUAUGUGGUUUGCUCCCCACCUCAAAACUUUACAAAUAUAAUUUUAGCAUAAACAAAACAUUUCCUAUUAUUAUGUGGUAAAUGAUCUUUGACUCGCAUAAGUGUCGACAUGUAAGUUUCACUUUUGUUUUACAGUCAAACCUCAAUUAUUCGGACUCAUUGGGACUAGACAAAAUAGUCUGGAUAAUCCAGGGUCCAGAUAAUCGAAAAUGUGAAUAUUAAUGAAGAACAAAACUGUUUAAAUAAAGCAACAUUUAACCGUAAAACAACACUUU